RNAcentral lists this ribosomal RNA (247 nucleotides) under uncultured bacterium. RNAcentral's name for it is "partial 16S ribosomal RNA". It matches the Rfam family "Bacterial small subunit ribosomal RNA", at positions 523 to 769 of the family's 1533-position model. The record is from RNAcentral.
AUACGUAGGUGGCAAGCGUUAUCCGGAUUUAUUGGGCGUAAAGCGAGCGCUAGGCGGUUUUUAAGUCUGAUGUGAAAGCCCUCGGCUUAACCGAGGAAGCGCAUCGGAAACUGGGAAACUUGAGUGCAGAAAAGGACAGUGGAACUCCAUGUGUAGCGGUGAAAUGCGUAGAUAUAUGGAAGAACACCAGUGGCGAAGGCGGCUGUCUGGUCUGUAACUGACGCUGAGGCUCGAAAGUAUGGGUAGC